GAUGAAGAACGUAGCGAAAUGCGAUAAGUAGUGUGAAUUGCAGAAUUCAGUGAAUCAUCGAAUCUUUGAACGCACAUUGCGCCCUUUGGUAUUCCUUAGGGCAUGUCUGUUCGAGCGUCAUUUAAACCUUCAAGCUCAGCUUGGUGUUGGGUGACUGUCCGCCGCCUCCGGGCGGUCGGACUCGCCUCAAAUCGAUUGGCGGCCGGUACUUUGGCUUCGAGCGCAGCAGAAACGCGAACUCGAGGCCGUCGUCCUGGCUCCCAGAAGCUAUCUUCACAAUUUUGACCUCGGAUCAGGUAGGGAUACCCGCUGAACUUAAGCAUAUCAAUAAGCGGAGGA
Molecule: unclassified non-coding RNA, 339 nt
Filed under: soil metagenome
Description: partial contains 5.8S ribosomal RNA, internal transcribed spacer 2, and large subunit ribosomal RNA
Rfam family: 5.8S ribosomal RNA (bases 1-120)
Source: RNAcentral